RNAcentral lists this long non-coding RNA (218 nucleotides) under Gossypium barbadense (sea-island cotton). RNAcentral describes it as "long non-coding RNA (GBAR_LNC005471)". Lineage: Eukaryota; Viridiplantae; Streptophyta; Magnoliopsida; Malvales; Malvaceae. The record is from RNAcentral.
UGACACCAUAUUUUCAAUGCAAACACGAUAGUUGCCAAUUACAGAUCGUGUGUCGAAUAGUUCUUUUCGUGCAGUUUUAAAUGUCUUGAGGUAUGAGAUAUGACUUUGCUUUCCUACAUCAAAACACAGCCCAAACCAUUCAAAGAUGUAUCACUAUAAAUAAUAAAUUCAUUACCCAAUUCUAGUUAAACUAACACUGGAGCUUCAGUCAACAGAGC